Molecule: non-coding RNA, 229 nt
Organism: Theobroma cacao (cacao)
Lineage: Eukaryota; Viridiplantae; Streptophyta; Magnoliopsida; Malvales; Malvaceae
Source: RefSeq, a predicted model, not a curated record
UAUGGCUGGCCUAAGCAUGAAGUGAAGAAGAACAAAGAAAGAACAAAACCUAGGUGGGAAAAUUAAAGAAAAAGUAUGGGAUUUUAAGGAAUUAAGCAAUCAAAGGUGGUGAAUCCUCCGAUAAAGGUAAGAAAAUUGUACUCGAGGAUCGGUAGUCAGAGUACUCUAGAAAUUCGACUCUCGAAAUAGCUCAGAUUAGACUGUAGAUAGCUGAUCUCAUCGAGGACUA